This is a long non-coding RNA of Dermochelys coriacea (leatherback sea turtle), 781 nucleotides long. RefSeq lists it as uncharacterized. The record is from RefSeq and is a predicted model, not a curated record. The transcript has 3 exons. Lineage: Eukaryota; Metazoa; Chordata; Testudines; Dermochelyidae.
GUGUAAGACAGGGGAGCAUUAGGAUCAUGAGAAACCCAGUCCACAGUUUUCAGCAACAGGAGUGCAGAGGGAUUUUCCAGAGCAGAAUCAGAAAGCCUGCCCUGACCUUGGCAUUUCUAGUGAUAGCUGCCCUAGGCACCACUGGGUCAGACCUUGGCUGGGACUCAGAAGAGUGGGCAGCCUGGGUUCCCCCCACCAGCCACAGGGUAGUGGCCUAGCACUCAGAGAGGGGAUUGAAAACCCCUGAAGAGAGUCAUGGUACUGGACUUUAUUGGGCUCUGGUACACCAAAAGGGGACUUGAACUUAACUCAGCUGGAAAGCUGGGGUCAGUGAAAGGCAUAGAAAGGGUGAAAAUAUCAGCUUCAGAGAGGAUGCCCUGGGGGCAUGGCCUCAUACCAGGGCUGGGAUUGUGUAAAGACAGCGGGAGUAAUAAAAGACUGAGUCCAGGGAAGGCUACAGUUAAAGUCCGUGUUGAGGACACCCAAAAAGCCCUGUUGGACUCAUACCCCGGAAGGGGUCUGCUUGAGUUGUGUUUCACAUACGGACUGUGUGUGAUUCGGCCGGAGGGCUGAGUCACCAAAGCUGCCUGAGAAACCACCAACAGGGGUCGCUACAGACUGAGAGAGGUGCAGACACACACCUGGCCGGGAGGCGCUCGCAUGAGGCCAGGGAGCAUGUCUCACUAUUGACCUAACCAAAGACAAUGGACCAGAUCGUCAGUGACUUCAACCAAUGUACACCAGCAGAGGAUCAGUCCCUAGAGUGUUGUUUCCUAAUUCU